GAUCAUGGCUCAGGAUGAACGCUAGCGGCAGGCUUAACACAUGCAAGUCGGGGGGCAGCGCGGAGUAGCAAUACUCUAGCGGCGACCGGCGGAAGGGUGCGUAACACGUGAGCGACUUGCCCGUCACAGGGAGAUAACCGCUGGAAACGGCGACUAAUAUCCCAUAUGAUGGCGAUCUGCAUGGAUUGUCAUUGAAAGAUUCAUCGGUGACGGAUAGG
Molecule: ribosomal RNA, 218 nt
Filed under: uncultured bacterium
Lineage: Bacteria
Description: partial 16S ribosomal RNA
Rfam family: Bacterial small subunit ribosomal RNA
Source: RNAcentral